This 778-nucleotide ribosomal RNA is filed under the name uncultured Neocallimastigales. Its description in RNAcentral is "partial large subunit ribosomal RNA". It matches the Rfam family "Eukaryotic large subunit ribosomal RNA", at positions 22 to 645 of the family's 3401-position model. The record is from RNAcentral. Lineage: Eukaryota; Fungi; Neocallimastigomycota; Neocallimastigomycetes; Neocallimastigales.
GUACACGCUGUGACUAGCAUAUCAAUAAGCGGAGGAAAAGAAACUAACAAGGAUUCCCCUAGUAACGGCGAGUGAAGCGGGAAGAGCUCAAAUUUGAAAUCUUGAAAGGGUUCACCUUUCACGAAUUGUAGUUUAAAGAAGUGUUUUCUGUUACGAUUUGGUAAAUAAGUUCUUUGGAAUAGGACAUCAUAGAGGGUGAGAAUCCCGUAUAUUGACCAUUGGAUUUGUCAGCCUUGUGAUACACUUUCAAAGAGUCGGGUUGUUUGGGAAUGCAGCCCAAAACGGGAGGUAAAUUUCUUCUAAGGCUAAAUAUUGGCGAGAGACCGAUAGCGAACAAGUACCGUGAGGGAAAGAUGAAAAGAACUUUGAAAAGAGAGUUAAAUAGUACGUGAAAUUGUCAAAAGGGAAGCGUUUAACACCAGUGUUGUUUUCUGAAAAUCAACCUCUGUUAGCUUUAUGCAUGUUUGUUUAGACCUAAUCAGCUAUCUUGCAUGUUCUAUUGUUUGCAGUGGUGCACUUUUCAGUUUACAGGUCAACAUCAGUUUUUUUUACCGUAAAAAAGUUAAAGAAAGGUAGCUCAUGGCUCCGGUCGUGAGUGUUAUAGUCUUUUUCCUAUGCGGUAGGAGAGACUGAGGUCUGCAGUGUAGGCUAUUUGGCUAGAUACUCAGGUGCUAUGUGAUACCAUUUCAUAAACAACUUGUUGAUUAUGUUUUGUCUAUUGCAUACUCGCUUGUACUAUCAUACCUACGCUUAGGAUGUUGACGCAUGAGAUAUACGC